CGCGUGCGAGUGUCGCGGGAUUCGUUAUCCCGUUUUUUUUUUUGAGACCCAUACCUUCAUUGCUUCCUUCCUCGUUUUCACUAGUGUGUGUGUGGGGGGGGGGCGCAGCGAGCACACGCAUACGUACACACACACACACACACACACACACACACAACCAUAUCGACGCACGAACCGUUGUAGAGGAACCUUUAGCGGCCCUGGGAGGUGAUGGACACUCAUGCCUUGCUUGCUCUCGCUCAGAGUGCUGUGGACGCCGGUAAUGUAAAGGCUGCCUGCGAGUUCUACGAGGUGGCCCUCGCCCAGUCUCCAAACAAUGACGAGGUAUUGGAGGCCUAUGCGGAAGUCAUGAUCCACAACGUCCAAGACAUCCCUCGCGCUCGGCAGAUGCUUCGCCAUGCGAUCGACAUCAACCCGAACCAGGGGUACGUGAAGUACCUGAACUUAGCGCAACUGUGCGAGGCAGAGGAGGCACUCAAGUGCUACGAAAAGGCGUACGGGAUUGCAAGCCUCAUGCUGCACGGAUGCCGAAAGAAGAAGAUGAAAAAAACACUGCAGGAGACCAUGGCGACCAUGUGCUGCGCCGUGGCCGAGCUCUAUCUGACUGACCUCUGCUUCGCAGAAAAUGCCGAGCAGCAGUGCGAGCAGGCUGUGAACCGCGCACUGGAGCUGAAUAACGAUAUUGUGGAGCCGCACCAGCUGCAGGCGUCCCUCCGCCUGAGUCAAUGCCGCCCCGACGAGGCGCUACAGUCGCUGCGCCGUGCUGUAGACGCAACACAUCGCCUCGGCGAGGAGCAUCAGCCCACGUACGAGUCUAAGAUUGAGCUAGGCCGACUUCUGAUGCAGGUUGACCCAGCCGAGGCUUUUCAGUUCCUACUGGAAGUGCUCCAGUAUGGGGACAACAACCCCUACGUGUGGUUCCUGCUCGGCGAGAGUGCCCGUAUGCGGGGACGAUACGCUGACGCGGCGCGCCUGCUGCGGCGGGCGCGUGUGAUGCUAGUGGUCUCCGGCGGCGACGCAACUGCGCUGAGCGAGGUGGACGCCGCCAUCAGCAUUUUGGUGCAGGAGAUGGGUGGCCCGGAGGCGGCGGCGCAGGUGAAAGACCUAGAUCACCCCUACCCGCUUGAGCUGCUCGAGGCAGAAGACGACCAGGGCACAGAGGAGGACGGAGACGGCGACCUGGAAGAGCCGGAGCGAGAGUCGUGCGACGAUGAGGACGACGCCUAGUGGUGGUUUUUCUUUUUGACAAGCAAAAAAAAACUAAAUAAAUAAUCUUCUGCUCUCAUCACCACUUCGCCGUUGCACUGCGCCAAUCGUGUGUGUUUGUGUAGUUGUGUGUGUGUGUGUGUGCGUGUGGGUGGGUGCCUCGCGGUGUCUCUCUGUGCUUCUUCAUGUCUCUCACGCUUCGCCCUUUGCUUUCGUGGUCUUUCCCCGCACACCACCUCUCCCUCUCCCUCUCCCUCUCCCGUUCCUUCGUGCGGGGUGUGCGUUUUGCGUGUAAACAUAGGCGACUAACAUCCGUAAGGCUGCCGAAACACACACACACACACACGCGUCGAGUGUGGCCUUGAGGAAGACACAGGGAUGGCGUGGCAAGACGGACACACAGAGGCUACUCUCGUGCGCACAGGUGCAAGUUAGGCGCACCAGGUGAUCUUGCGUCGGGCACCGUUUCCAUCAUUUCGGCCUCUCUCUUCUGAUCGGCCGCAUAUCCUGUCAGGGCAGCCGCCUUCGUGAGGCAGGGAAUAGAGGCGCCAGCUCGCCUCUUGUCCUACCGCCUCUCCUCGCACCUCCCUCCUCCUGCUGCCCUCUAAAGCGGCGGCGCCUUUAUCUGGGCUCAUGAUCAUCUCUUUCUCCUUGAUAUCCUCUUGCUUCUUGCUGCAUUCGUGUACUGCUGCCUCUUUCCCUCUUGCGUGUCAG
RNAcentral lists this unclassified non-coding RNA (1920 nucleotides) under Leishmania donovani. RNAcentral's name for it is "gene:LdHU3.35.5350(CDS-product:Tetratricopeptide_ repeat_putative)". The record is from RNAcentral. Lineage: Eukaryota; Euglenozoa; Kinetoplastea; Trypanosomatida; Trypanosomatidae.